Molecule: long non-coding RNA, 3417 nt
Organism: Aquila chrysaetos chrysaetos
Lineage: Eukaryota; Metazoa; Chordata; Aves; Accipitriformes; Accipitridae
Exons: 5
Source: RefSeq, a predicted model, not a curated record
GUUGUAAUUUUCUUGUGUAAACUUUCCAAAACAGGGGAUGUACCUUUAAUGUAGUGGUGUGUUUCGGGGUCUACAGCCUGCAGGCAUUAGAUGAGGCCUUCCAGUUCGUUGACUAUUUAGAUAAAAGCACCCUACUGCUAGAGUGGCUCCAAAUGUCUGCAGUUAGUUCCUUUGCAGAAUUAAUGUUCAUUACUGUGAUAUCUGUUUUGUGGUGUGGUAAUAGGGAAGCUGCUAGAUAAAUUUGAGGAUAGAUUUAUGUAUGCAAUACAGUUUGUUUAAGGUUAAAAUUGUGGAAACCUUUUGAUAUUUAGACACUAUUGUUCUUUGAAGUUGGCCUAUCACUUUGAAAAGUCACAAGAUCUGAUCAAAAGGAAUGUAUACAAAAAGUGAGGAUCAAAAAUGUAUAGUAAAACUCAGAAUAUCUGCUAACAUUCAGCUGGUCAAACAUUCCUCUCCCACUCCCCAAAUUAGUUGAAAUGAUGACACCUUACAGCUACAGUCUAAUCUAAAGUCAGCUUUUUCCUAGUCAAGGAAGAAAUAAGUUAAAGUAUCAUGAGCAAAGAAGAAAUCUGAUGGCAGCUUUUUACUACUCUUUCUAUUAAUGCAGGAGUAAUAGGCAGGAGUUCACAGCUUUAGCAGCCAUCUUAUUCUAAAUCUCUUCCAUUGCUGUUUGAUAAGGCCAAGAUAUAUUGUCUUGAGCAAAAGGGCAUGGAAGAUCUGGCUCUGGAAGGUAUGCAUUCAACAUUUUGAGUAUAAAAUGAGAUAAAUGCAAAGAAAGCAUAUUUCUCCUUCCCACCCAAAAAAUGAAUAGAAAAAUCAAAGCAGAUGAGGCAUCCCAUUGGGCAGGAAGAAUGGGAUUUUCUGAGUCUAUUAUAGAGAGGAAAGAAGAUAAAACCAUUGAAGUGAAUUAAAUAAAAAUAAAAAGACCAAGAUUACAUCAGAUUUACAUAAUUGUCCAGAUGGACAAAAAGAGUCAUAUAUACCUGAAAUUGAUAAGAUCUGAUCACACAAAUCAGAAAUGGCAACAAAAGGUGUCCAAUGAAUCAGAAGCCAAAGGCUAGAUGAUAAUUGCCUGAGGCAACAUCAAAGGCUGCUUGGCAAGGCAGCAGCCAAAGGCUAAAUGAAGUUGCCUGGAGCAUCAUCAAGAACAGCUAGUACAAACCCUGGUUUGAGGGAGAAUACUUUAUCACUUUCUCUCUUCACAUUUCCUGAAAAACCCCUGACACUUUUACGUCUUGAAGGGCAUGUGUAUGACUCACAGCUGGUCUCCACUACUGCAUAUUCUUUGCUUUUUAUGAUACCUGCAGAUGGAAACAAAACCAAACUGUUUUCAACUUUGUGACCACCCCUGGCUAAAAAUUGAAAAGCUUUACAAAGGAGAACCCAAACUUCCUUUGCUUUGCUUACAUGUUUAUUACAAUUAAUCCAUCUGAAGAACUCCAUCUUGUGUCUGAUGCUCAGCUGACAAUGUUUAUGUGGGGUGAGGGAGAAAUUCUCCCCACAACUGUACACAGAGGUUAAGAGUGACCAUCUCUUCUCCAGUCUGCUGAAUGGCACUGCCACAGUUUCUACUGGUCAAAACCCAGGUGUUACUUCAAGCUUUAGCUGUACAUGCUGGAACAACUCAUUCCUCUGUCAUUGCUAACAAAUCUGUCAUAGUUGCGGCAAUUAAGCAUAAAUGUUACAAAAAUAGAUAAUUUAUAACAUUUCAGGGGGCUUUAAAUUAUUGAUUAUUCAGAACAGAGAUCUUCCGAGGACUAAGAAAAGCAGAAGUAGGGAAAGGGAAUAGUAGCACCAGGGCUAAGCAUGCUGCUUGAUGCAGGGCCAAAAAAAUCUCACCUGCUACUAUGUGUGUAUAUAUAUAUGCCACUUUGAAACCUGUCUUGGGUGAAGUGGCAGAAUAAGAAGGGCAACAUAAAAAGAGUGACAAAGGAAAUAACUUUUUCUCAAUUUCAUGAUGUACAGUACAGAUUUUGAUCAUCAUUAGACUCUCCUGUAAGCUUUUCCCUGAUGCGAGGUUGCUGGACCUUGGCUUCUAACCAGCUUAAAACCAACAUGAAGAGGAUAAUGGCAAAGUUUAGUUACUGCAGUUAUGCUGAACAGUGACAAACUGUGUCAUGGCAUUGUGUUGAAGACAAAUACCUUCUGAGGAGAGAAGAAAUCUGAAAUUUUCACAUGUGUACUGAAAUCUGAAGAGAUAAAAGCAAAAUUGACCGCAGUGCCAUACUGGAAUACCUCCCCAAAGUAAGCUACAGCUCCUGGUGGUCACAUUAGUGUUGUCUUCGUCAACCACACUGGGGACAGCUCUGACACUCAGCCCGUAGGUACAGAUUGACUUCUGUCUACAAGGACUUCAUGGACAUGGCAAGCCUCCCAGGAGCCCUCAGGGAAAAGAGCAGCAUCGCUGCAAGUUGUGGAGUCAUCCAGGGGAAUCCAGUGACUCUACAACUACUUGUGUAGGAACUUGGUUGCUUUGUCUGAUUGCAUCACCUGUGAAAGUGUCACAGAAUCUGAAGUAUUUACUUGAUCUAACCAGACCCCAUCGCUUGCAAAGGAAAUCUGACAAGUAGCGGAGAACAAUAUAUGACUUAAGCUGGAGAAAUUGCUUUGCCAUGGAAAGCAGAGACCACCAAACCCAGAAAUCUUUACAAGUCGUGUGUAUACACCAAGAGACACUGGGAGUGCAGCAAUGGGCCAUGAAGAAAGCUCUACUCCUGCCUUGGUAGCUCUGGAAUAAGUGGAAAAAGAUAUUUUGUUUCUGGUCUUUUUUCUUCUUUUUUUUCUUUUUUUAAAUUUUAUUUUUAAGGUCUGUUGCUUUUCCAAUGCCCAGAAAUGCCUUCCCUGAAUGGGAUAAAAUUUGCAUUCAUUUCUGCAUUUACCACUCUGUGUGCACACAUGUGCAUGUAGUUUUCAUGCAUAAACUGAAAGGAAAAAUGGUGUUCUAUUUUACAAUUAAGUUUAAUCUGGUACGUGUUACUUGAAGAAUAAUAGCUAGCGGUAUUGACAAUGAUGCAUAAAUACUUUGUGGCAUGACUGCAGCAGUGACAUUGUAGUUCUGCUGUUCCCUAUUGUUACUUUAAAAGACUGAUAGCAGAGAUGGAGUGGGAGUGGGUCCCUCCUUUAUGAAAUGCGCUCUACCAGCCAAUACUACUUUUGUAAUAUGAGUGCAAAUCCUUAAUGAUUAUUUUACUCUGCUGUCCUUUAAAUAACAAAACAUAUUCAGCCCUGUAUUUUGCUAAUUACCACAGCUGUCGAAAUGGAUUUCCUACUUGUUUGGAGUGUGCAUCAGGAAAAAUGUAUCAGUUUCCUUAAUGAUACUUGGGUUUACUCUGCUUAUCAGAGGGGUAGUCCAAGUGUGAUUAGAUCUACGAAUUAGAUUUUCACAAUAAAAAUGGUAUUCCAGCAUUUCCACUACAA